CCUACGGGAGGCAGCAGUGGGGAAUUUUGGACAAUGGGGGCAACCCUGAUCCAGCAAUGCCGCGUGAGUGAAGAAGGCCUUCGGGUUGUAAAGCUCUUUUGUCAGGGAAGAAACAGCAGCUCCAACACAGUCUGCGAAUGACGGUACCUGAAGAAUAAGCACCGGCUAACUACGUGCCAGCAGCCGCGGUAAUACGUAGGGUGCGAGCGUUAAUCGGAAUUACUGGGCGUAAAGCGUGCGCAGGCGGUUAUACAAGACAGGCGUGAAAUCCCCGGGCUUAACCUGGGAAUGGCGUCUGUGACUGUAUAGCUAGAGUGUGUCAGAGGGGGGUGGAAUUCCACGUGUAGCAGUGAAAUGCGUAGAUAUGUGGAGGAACACCAAUGGCGAAGGCAGCCCCCUGGGAUAACACUGACGCUCAUGCACGAAAGCGUGGGGAGCAAACAGGAUUAGAUACCCUGGUAGUCCACGCCCUAAACGAUGCUGACUAGUUGUUGGGAAUUUACAUUCUCAGUAACGUAGCUAACGCGUGAAGUCAGCCGCCUGGGGAGUACGGUCGCAAGAUUAAAACUCAAAGGAAUUGACGG
Molecule: ribosomal RNA, 584 nt
Filed under: uncultured beta proteobacterium
Lineage: Bacteria; Pseudomonadati; Pseudomonadota; Betaproteobacteria
Description: bacterial SSU rRNA
Rfam family: Bacterial small subunit ribosomal RNA
Source: RNAcentral